Molecule: ribosomal RNA, 497 nt
Filed under: uncultured bacterium
Lineage: Bacteria
Description: partial 16S ribosomal RNA
Rfam family: Bacterial small subunit ribosomal RNA
Source: RNAcentral
GAUGAACGCUGGCGGCGUGCCUAAUACAUGCAAGUCGAGCGAACAGGCGAGGAGCUUGCUCCUCUGACGUUAGCGGCGGACGGGUGAGUAACACGUGGAUAACCUACCUAUAAGACUGGGAUAACUUCGGGAAACCGGAGCUAAUACCGGAUAAUAUAUUGAACCGCAUGGUUCAAUAGUGAAAGACGGUUUUGCUGUCACUUAUAGAUGGAUCCGCGCCGCAUUAGCUAGUUGGUAAGGUAACGGCUUACCAAGGCAACGAUGCGUAGCCGACCUGAGAGGGUGAUCGGCCACACUGGAACUGAGACACGGUCCAGACUCCUACGGGGGGCAGCAGUAGGGAAUCUUCCGCAAUGGGCGAAAGCUUGACGGAGCAACGCCGCGUGAGUGAUGAAGGUCUUCGGAUCGUAAAACUCUGUUAUUAGGGAAGAACAAAUGUGUAAGUAACUAUGCACGUCUUGACGGUACCUAAUCAGAAAGCCACGGCUAACUACGUG